RNAcentral lists this ribosomal RNA (253 nucleotides) under uncultured bacterium. Its description in RNAcentral is "partial 16S ribosomal RNA". It matches the Rfam family "Bacterial small subunit ribosomal RNA", at positions 524 to 776 of the family's 1533-position model. The record is from RNAcentral.
GACGGAGGUGGCAAGCGUUGUUCGGAAUUACUGGGCUUAAAGGGAGCGUAGGCGGUAUGUUAAGUCGUAGGUGGAAGUCCGGGGCCCAACCCCGGGAUGUCCUGCGAAACUGGCGUACUUGAGUUGUUCAGGGGAUGGCGGAAUUCCUGGUGUAGCGGUGAAAUGCGUAGAUAUCAGGAGGAAGGCCUGUGGCGAAGGCGGCCAUCUGGGGACAAACUGACGCUGAGGCUCGAAAGCGUGGGUAGCAAACAGG